GCCGAGCUGCUUCUAUUUCUGGAAAUACAUGUCCAAUUCUAUCAACCAAUUUCAUUAAUUCUGUGCACAUUGAACGAUGUGCCUUGAAGGAAUAAAGAUAUGGCACUGUAUCCACUACAUCAGCAACAUCAGUCCCCAUUCAAAGGGAAGAAAGCAGGGUCCACUAAUGUGGAAACAACAACAGUAACAAGAAGCUCCCUUCACUGCUAUUAAGGAAGCAAUCAAACGCGAACUCCUUCCUUCUUUUAACAAAUAGUUAGCGCUUGAACCUCCAAUCUAGCCAAAACCCAAUUCUUA
This 297-nucleotide unclassified non-coding RNA is filed under the name Hevea brasiliensis (rubber tree). Lineage: Eukaryota; Viridiplantae; Streptophyta; Magnoliopsida; Malpighiales; Euphorbiaceae. The record is from RNAcentral.